GUAAAAUUGCUUCAAAAUAAACAUUUUUGAAAAAGAGUUGUUCCUUACACUCUGAAAGGUGAACAUAACUUGAGUUUUUCAGUGCUGUUGCCAGAGUGGAAAGUUUUCAGCAAAGAAGCAUUAAGGAUAUUUCAUUGACUGCAGAUAGCAUUGCGUAAAUAUUUGACAAGUUACCUUGGUAAUUAGUAGCCUUAGAGUGACAUUUCACCUGAGUUUUUACCAAGAUAACAUUCAUUCUGUUAACCUUUUGUUCUUUAUUGAGUGUUUAUCCCUUGCUCUAACUUCAAAGUAUACAAAGUAUAAUAGGGUCUUUCUUUAAGUGCAGUUUGGUAUUAGUUUGACUCAUUUUAGACCUCAUUUUAGAAGAUUAGUUUCUAAAGGAUCAGAAAAAUGCCAAAUGGUAAUCU
Molecule: long non-coding RNA, 407 nt
Filed under: Bos taurus (domestic cattle)
Lineage: Eukaryota; Metazoa; Chordata; Mammalia; Artiodactyla; Bovidae
Description: long non-coding RNA NONBTAT002674
Source: RNAcentral